CUUGCAGGGUACUCGAGUGGCGAACGGGUGAGUAACACGUGGGUGAUCUGCCCUGCACUUCGGGAUAAGCUUGGGAAACUGGGUCUAAUACCGGAUAGGAACCAUCUUUAGUGUGGUGGUUGGAAAGUUUUUUCGGUGUAGGAUGAGCUCGCGGCCUAUCGGCUUGUUGGUGGGGUAAUGGCCUACCAAGGCGGCGACGGGUAGCCGGCCUGAGAGGGUGUACGGCCACAUUGGGACUGAGAUACGGCCCAG
This 252-nucleotide ribosomal RNA is filed under the name uncultured Actinomycetales bacterium. RNAcentral describes it as "partial 16S ribosomal RNA". It matches the Rfam family "Bacterial small subunit ribosomal RNA", at positions 79 to 334 of the family's 1533-position model. The record is from RNAcentral. Lineage: Bacteria; Bacillati; Actinomycetota; Actinomycetes; Actinomycetales.